AGCGGACUGCUCGAGCUGCUUC
RNAcentral lists this small nuclear RNA (22 nucleotides) under Arabidopsis thaliana (thale cress). RNAcentral describes it as "snRNA_17353". Lineage: Eukaryota; Viridiplantae; Streptophyta; Magnoliopsida; Brassicales; Brassicaceae. The record is from RNAcentral.